This 253-nucleotide ribosomal RNA is filed under the name uncultured bacterium. Its description in RNAcentral is "partial 16S ribosomal RNA". It matches the Rfam family "Bacterial small subunit ribosomal RNA", at positions 524 to 776 of the family's 1533-position model. The record is from RNAcentral.
UACGUAGGGUGCGAGCGUUGUCCGGAAUUACUGGGCGUAAAGGGUUUGUAGGUGGCUUGCUAAGUCAGACGUGAAAUCCCUCAGCUUAACUGGGGAACUGCGUCUGAUACUGGCGAGCUUGAGUGCAGGAGAGGAACGCGGAAUUCCAGGUGUAGCGGUGAAAUGCGUAGAUAUCUGGAGGAACACCGGUGGCGAAGGCGGCGUUCUGGACUGCAACUGACACUGAAAAACGAAAGCCAGGGGAGCAAACGGG